Molecule: unclassified non-coding RNA, 3729 nt
Filed under: Homo sapiens (human)
Lineage: Eukaryota; Metazoa; Chordata; Mammalia; Primates; Hominidae
Description: nuclear enriched abundant transcript 1
Rfam family: Nuclear enriched abundant transcript 1 conserved region 3 (bases 1163-1321)
Source: RNAcentral
GGAGUUAGCGACAGGGAGGGAUGCGCGCCUGGGUGUAGUUGUGGGGGAGGAAGUGGCUAGCUCAGGGCUUCAGGGGACAGACAGGGAGAGAUGACUGAGUUAGAUGAGACGAGGGGGCGGGCUGGGGGUGCGAGAAGGAAGCUUGGCAAGGAGACUAGGUCUAGGGGGACCACAGUGGGGCAGGCUGCAUGGAAAAUAUCCGCAGGGUCCCCCAGGCAGAACAGCCACGCUCCAGGCCAGGCUGUCCCUACUGCCUGGUGGAGGGGGAACUUGACCUCUGGGAGGGCGCCGCUCUUGCAUAGCUGAGCGAGCCCGGGUGCGCUGGUCUGUGUGGAAGGAGGAAGGCAGGGAGAGGUAGAAGGGGUGGAGGAGUCAGGAGGAAUAGGCCGCAGCAGCCCUGGAAAUGAUCAGGAAGGCAGGCAGUGGGUGCAGGGCUGCAGGAGGGCCGGGAGGGCUAAUCUUCAACUUGUCCAUGCCAGCAGCCCCUUUUUUUCCAGACCAAGGGCUGUGAACCCGCCUGGGGAUGAGGCCUGGUCUUGUGGAACUGAACUUAGCUCGACGGGGCUGACCGCUCUGGCCCAGGGUGGUAUGUAAUUUUCGCUCGGCCUGGGACGGGGCCCAGGCCGGGCCCAGCCUGGUGGAGCGUCCAGGUCUGGGUGCGAAGCCAGGCCCCUGGGCGGAGGUGAGGGGUGGUCUGAGGAGUGAUGUGGAGUUAAGGCGCCAUCCUCACCGGUGACUGGUGCGGCACCUAGCAUGUUUGACAGGCGGGGACUGCGAGGCACGCUGCUCGGGUGUUGGGGACAACAUUGACCAACGCUUUAUUUUCCAGGUGGCAGUGCUCCUUUUGGACUUUUCUCUAGGUUUGGCGCUAAACUCUUCUUGUGAGCUCACUCCACCCCUUCUUCCUCCCUUUAACUUAUCCAUUCACUUAAAACAUUACCUGGUCAUCUGGUAAGCCCGGGACAGUAAGCCGAGUGGCUGUUGGAGUCGGUAUUGUUGGUAAUGGUGGAGGAAGAGAGGCCUUCCCGCUGAGGCUGGGGUGGGGCGGAUCGGUGUUGCUUGCCUGCAGAGAGGGUGGGGAGUGAAUGUGCACCCUUGGGUGGGCCUGCAGCCAUCCAGCUGAAAGUUACAAAAAUGCUUCAUGGACCGUGGUUUGUUACUAUAGUGUUCCUCAUGGCGAGCAGAUGGAACCGGGAGACAUGGAGUCCCUGGCCAGUGUGAGUCCUAGCAUUGCAGGAGGGGAGACCCUGGAGGAGAGAGCCCGCCUCAAUUGAUGCCUGCAGAUUGAAUUUCCAGAGGCUUAGGAGGAGGAAGUUCUCCAAUGUUCUGUUUCCAGGCCUUGCUCAGGAAGCCCUGUAUUCAGGAGGCUACCAUUUAAAGUUUGCAGAUGAGCUUAUGGGGGGCAAUCUUAAAAAGUCCACAGCAGAUGCAUCCGGCUCGAGGGGCCAUCAGCUUUGAAUAAAUGCUUGUUCCAGAGCCCAUGAAUGCCAGCAGGCACCCCUCCUUUCCUGGGGUAAAGGUUUUCAGAUGCUGCAUCUUCUAAAUUGAGCCUCCGGUCAUACUAGUUUUGUGCUUGGAACCUUGCUUCAAGAAGAUCCCUAAGCUGUAGAACAUUUUAACGUUGAUGCCACAACGCAGAUUGAUGCCUUGUAGAUGGAGCUUGCAGAUGGAGCCCCGUGACCUCUCACCUACCCACCUGUUUGCCUGCCUUCUUGUGCGUUUCUCGGAGAAGUUCUUAGCCUGAUGAAAUAACUUGGGGCGUUGAAGAGCUGUUUAAUUUUAAAUGCCUUAGACUGGGGAUAUAUUAGAGGAAGCAGAUUGUCAAAUUAAGGGUGUCAUUGUGUUGUGCUAAACGCUGGGAGGGUACAAGUUGGUCAUUCCUAAAUCUGUGUGUGAGAAAUGGCAGGUCUAGUUUGGGCAUUGUGAUUGCAUUGCAGAUUACUAGGAGAAGGGAAUGGUGGGUACACCGGUAGUGCUCUUUUGUUCUUGCUUCGUUUUUUUAAACUUGAACUUUACUUCGUUAGAUUUCAUAAUACUUUCUUGGCAUUCUAGUAAGAGGACCCUGAGGUGGGAGUUGUGGGGGACGGGGAGAAGGGGACAGCUUGGCACCGGUCCCGUGGGCGUUGCAGUGUGGGGGAUGGGGGUAUGCAGCUUGGCACUGGUACUGGGAGGGAUGAGGGUGAAGAAGGGGAGAGGGUUGGUUAGAGAUACAGUGUGGGUGGUGGGGGUGGUAGGAAAUGCAGGUUGAAGGGAAUUCUCUGGGGCUUUGGGGAAUUUAGUGCGUGGGUGAGCCAAGAAAAUACUAAUUAAUAAUAGUAAGUUGUUAGUGUUGGUUAAGUUGUUGCUUGGAAGUGAGAAGUUGCUUAGAAACUUUCCAAAGUGCUUAGAACUUUAAGUGCAAACAGACAAACUAACAAACAAAAAUUGUUUUGCUUUGCUACAAGGUGGGGAAGACUGAAGAAGUGUUAACUGAAAACAGGUGACACAGAGUCACCAGUUUUCCGAGAACCAAAGGGAGGGGUGUGUGAUGCCAUCUCACAGGCAGGGGAAAUGUCUUUACCAGCUUCCUCCUGGUGGCCAAGACAGCCUGUUUCAGAGGGUUGUUUUGUUUGGGGUGUGGGUGUUAUCAAGUGAAUUAGUCACUUGAAAGAUGGGCGUCAGACUUGCAUACGCAGCAGAUCAGCAUCCUUCGCUGCCCCUUAGCAACUUAGGUGGUUGAUUUGAAACUGUGAAGGUGUGAUUUUUUCAGGAGCUGGAAGUCUUAGAAAAGCCUUGUAAAUGCCUAUAUUGUGGGCUUUUAACGUAUUUAAGGGACCACUUAAGACGAGAUUAGAUGGGCUCUUCUGGAUUUGUUCCUCAUUUGUCACAGGUGUCUUGUGAUUGAAAAUCAUGAGCGAAGUGAAAUUGCAUUGAAUUUCAAGGGAAUUUAGUAUGUAAAUCGUGCCUUAGAAACACAUCUGUUGUCUUUUCUGUGUUUGGUCGAUAUUAAUAAUGGCAAAAUUUUUGCCUAUCUAGUAUCUUCAAAUUGUAGUCUUUGUAACAACCAAAUAACCUUUUGUGGUCACUGUAAAAUUAAUAUUUGGUAGACAGAAUCCAUGUACCUUUGCUAAGGUUAGAAUGAAUAAUUUAUUGUAUUUUUAAUUUGAAUGUUUGUGCUUUUUAAAUGAGCCAAGACUAGAGGGGAAACUAUCACCUAAAAUCAGUUUGGAAAACAAGACCUAAAAAGGGAAGGGGAUGGGGAUUGUGGGGAGAGAGUGGGCGAGGUGCCUUUACUACAUGUGUGAUCUGAAAACCCUGCUUGGUUCUGAGCUGCGUCUAUUGAAUUGGUAAAGUAAUACCAAUGGCUUUUUAUCAUUUCCUUCUUCCCUUUAAGUUUCACUUGAAAUUUUAAAAAUCAUGGUUAUUUUUAUCGUUGGGAUCUUUCUGUCUUCUGGGUUCCAUUUUUUAAAUGUUUAAAAAUAUGUUGACAUGGUAGUUCAGUUCUUAACCAAUGACUUGGGGAUGAUGCAAACAAUUACUGUCGUUGGGAUUUAGAGUGUAUUAGUCACGCAUGUAUGGGGAAGUAGUCUCGGGUAUGCUGUUGUGAAAUUGAAACUGUAAAAGUAGAUGGUUGAAAGUACUGGUAUGUUGCUCUGUAUGGUAAGAACUAAUUCUGUUACGUCAUGUACAUAAUUACUAAUCACUUUUCUUCCCCUUUACAGCACAAAUAAAGUUUGAGUUCUAAACUCA